CAACUGGCCCCAGUUGGUUAGAGCGCUGCGCCGGAAUUGCAGGCCGCAGGUUCGAUUCCUGCUGGAGGG
Molecule: transfer RNA, 69 nt
Filed under: Paramuricea clavata
Lineage: Eukaryota; Metazoa; Cnidaria; Anthozoa; Malacalcyonacea; Plexauridae
Description: tRNA-Ser
Source: RNAcentral